UUUAAAUAAUUAACUAACGUUUAAUAUUGAAAUAGAUAUUUUUAUUAUUUUUAAAAAAGUUUGAUUUUGGUUUUUUGAUUUAUUUUAUUAUUUUUUUGCAUGUGAAUUUUUGUGUGUUUAUAAAAAUUUUUUAAAAAAAAAAAUUAAUCUAUGAAUUUAUUUGCAGCAUUUAAUUUUAAUAAUUAAAUAAUUUUAGAAUUAUAAAUAAUUUUUUAUAUAAACAAAAAUUGUGCCAGCAGUUGCGGUUAUACAAUUUAUGUGAAUAAAUUUUAUUAAUUUAUAAAAUAUAAUUUAUUGAAAAAAUUUAUUUAAUAGUAAUAAAAUUGAGUGAAAUUUUUUUUUUAUUUAAAUUAAUUUAUUAUUUUAUAAUUUAUGAAAUCUUAGUAAUAAACUGGAAUUAGAUACUCUAUUAUUUAAUAUUUAAAUAAAAUUUAAAAUUAAAGGAUUAAAAGUUAUGUUCUUUUAAACUUAAAAAAAUUGGCGGUAUUUAAGACUAAUUAGGGGGACUUGUCUUUUAAUUGAUAUUCCUCAAGAAACCUUACUUUAUUUAAUUUAAUUUGUUUAUUGUCGUUAACAGAAAAUUUUUUAAGAAUAAAAAUUUUCUUUAUUUUAAUAUAUAUAUAUAUAUAUAUAUAUAUAUAUUAAAAUUAUUUCAGAUCAUGAUGCAGUUUAUAGUAAAGUUAAGAUGAGUCACAAUAAAUUUAAAUUUAUAUUAUGGUUAAUAAAUUGAAAUAUUUAUUUUAAAGUGGACUUAAUAGUAAAAUAAAAUAUUGAGUUUAUUUGAAUUUUAAAGAAUUAAAUAUGUACAUAUCGCCCGUCACUCUCGUUCUAAGAUGAGAUAAGUCGUAACAAAGUAGAUGUACUGGAAAGUGUAUCUAGAAAGAUUUUUUA
This 891-nucleotide non-coding RNA is filed under the name Hymenoptera sp. 4 GYN-2021. The record is from RNAcentral. Lineage: Eukaryota; Metazoa; Arthropoda; Insecta; Hymenoptera.